Molecule: transfer RNA, 69 nt
Filed under: Pomphorhynchus laevis
Lineage: Eukaryota; Metazoa; Acanthocephala; Palaeacanthocephala; Echinorhynchida; Pomphorhynchidae
Description: tRNA-Met
Source: RNAcentral
UAGGGGGAUAUAGGGGGUGAGAGUAUAACGUUAUAGUUAUGAUUAGGGAUUAAUCCUAGGGGGAUAUUC